UUGAUUGACGGUGCUUGCACCUGAUUGAUUUUGGUCGCCAACGAGUGGCGGACGGGUGAGUAACACGUAGGUAACCUGCCCAGAAGCGGGGGACAACAUUUGGAAACAGAUGCUAAUACCGCAUAACAGCGUUGUUCGCAUGAACAACGCUUAAAAGAUGGCUUCUCGCUAUCACUUCUGGAUGGACCUGCGGUGCAUUAGCUUGUUGGUGGGGUAACGGCCUACCAAGGCGAUGAUGCAUAGCCGAGUUGAGAGACUGAUCGGCCACAAUGGGACUGAGACACGGCCCAUACUCCUACGGGAGGCAGCAGUAGGGAAUCUUCCACAAUGGGCGCAAGCCUGAUGGAGCAACACCGCGUGAGUGAAGAAGGGUUUCGGCUCGUAAAGCUCUGUUGUUAAAGAAGAACACGUAUGAGAGUAACUGUUCAUACGUUGACGGUAUUUAACCAGAAAGUCACGGCUAACUACGUGCCAGCAGCCGCGGUAAUACGUAGGUGGCAAGCGUUAUCCGGAUUUAUUGGGCGUAAAGAGAGUGCAGGCGGUUUUCUAAGUCUGAUGUGAAAGCCUUCGGCUUAACCGGAGAAGUGCAUCGGAAACUGGAUAACUUGAGUGCAGAAGAGGGUAGUGGAACUCCAUGUGUAGCGGUGGAAUGCGUAGAUAUAUGGAAGAACACCAGUGGCGAAGGCGGCUACCUGGUCUGCAACUGACGCUGAGACUCGAAAGCAUGGGUAGCGAACAGGAUUAGAUACCCUGGUAGUCCAUGCCGUAAACGAUGAGUGCUAGGUGUUGGAGGGUUUCCGCCCUUCAGUGCCGGAGCUAACGCAUUAAGCACUCCGCCUGGGGAGUACGACCGCAAGGUUGAAACUCAAAGGAAUUGACGGGGGCCCGCACAAGCGGUGGAGCAUGUGGUUUAAUUCGAAGCUACGCGAAGAACCUUACCAGGUCUUGACAUCUUGCGCCAACCCUAGAGAUAGGGCGUUUCCUUCGGGAACGCAAUGACAGGUGGUGCAUGGUCGUCGUCAGCUCGUGUCGUGAGAUGUUGGGUUAAGUCCCGCAACGAGCGCAACCCUUGUUACUAGUUGCCAGCAUUAAGUUGGGCACUCUAGUGAGACUGCCGGUGACAAACCGGAGGAAGGUGGGGACGACGUCAGAUCAUCAUGCCCCUUAUGACCUGGGCUACACACGUGCUACAAUGGACGGUACAACGAGUCGCGAACUCGCGAGGGCAAGCAAAUCUCUUAAAACCGUUCUCAGUUCGGACUGCAGGCUGCAACUCGCCUGCACGAAGUCGGAAUCGCUAGUAAUCGCGGAUCAGCAUGCCGCGGUGAAUACGUUCCCGGGCCUUGUACACACCGCCCGUCACACCAUGAGAGUUUGUAACACCCAAAGUCGGUGGG
RNAcentral lists this ribosomal RNA (1397 nucleotides) under Limosilactobacillus fermentum. Its description in RNAcentral is "bacterial SSU rRNA". It matches the Rfam family "Bacterial small subunit ribosomal RNA", at positions 62 to 1434 of the family's 1533-position model. Lineage: Bacteria; Bacillati; Bacillota; Bacilli; Lactobacillales; Lactobacillaceae. The record is from RNAcentral.